CCUACGGGUGGCAGCAGUGGGGAAUAUUGCACAAUGGGGGAAACCCUGAUGCAGCAACGCCGCGUGAAUGAUGAAGGCCUUCGGGUUGUAAAGCUCUGUCUUCAGGGACGAUAAUUACGGUACCUGAGGAAUAAGCCGCGGCUAACUACGUGCCAGCAGCCGCGGUAAUACGUAGGGGGCGAGCGUUGUCCGGAUUUACUGGGCGUAAAGAGGGCGUAGGCGGGAUUUUAAGUCAGAUGUGAAAUACUUGGGCUCAACCGGAGGGCUGCAUUUGAAACUGGAAGUCUAGAGUGCAGGAGAGGAGAAUGGAAUUCCUAGUGUAGCGGUGAAAUGCGUAGAGAUUAGGAAGAACACCAGUGGCGAAGGCGACUUUCUGGACUGGAACUGACGCUGAGGCUCGAAAGCGUGGGGAGCAAACAGGAUUAGAUACCCGUGUAGUC
Molecule: ribosomal RNA, 440 nt
Filed under: uncultured bacterium
Lineage: Bacteria
Description: partial 16S ribosomal RNA
Rfam family: Bacterial small subunit ribosomal RNA
Source: RNAcentral